This 387-nucleotide long non-coding RNA is filed under the name Vigna radiata. RNAcentral describes it as "long non-coding RNA (VRAD_LNC015214)". The record is from RNAcentral. Lineage: Eukaryota; Viridiplantae; Streptophyta; Magnoliopsida; Fabales; Fabaceae.
UUGGUUUUUCUGGACAACAAAACACCUUGAGCUAAGAGAGAAAACAAUUUACUUCAUGAUAUAACAUUAGUCUCUCUUUUUGCUUCACAAUUGGAUAAACCACUUCUCAACUCAUUUCCCAACUCUUGUUCAUUGAAUGCAUUUUUAUUUCUUUUCUUCUUCUUUCUUCUUUUUCUUUCUUUUUGACUCAUAUUAUUAUUUUCUCAAUGCUCCCUUAUUUCAUAAACUCCCCCAAACUUAAACCAUUCUCCUCAUCCUAACAUAUAUGCUCAUCUCAACUCAAGGUAAGGAGGUUAAGGAUUUUUCAAUAAGCUUAAGGUUCCAGGGAUGAGAAAGUUUUUCUUCAAGGUUCAAAGGUUUUGCAUUGGCUUUUAGGCUCAAAAAUGU